CUUGCCGCUGUGCUUUCUGUUGCAGGCCAGGCCACAUGGCAGACGGGGAGCUGGAAGAGGCUGCCUGCGAUGGCCAGAGCAAGCGACUCGUGACGUGCAGUAAGGGUCAUGCUGGUCUGGAGCUCAGCCGUGCCAGGCGAUGCUCAGCCCGCAGAAACCCAUGGCAUGGGUGUGCCCAGCUGUUCCAUAAACUUUUAACCAACCAGGCUUUGCUCCUGUGCUGUUGAGGACGGGGUUGUCCCAGCCACUCGGUAGCCAAGCAGUUUGCAGGCCCAGAGUGCAGGAAGUCAGAGCUCCUGCCUCCUGCCUGCUGCCCUCCCCAUCCUGACCCACAGGAAGGUUCAGCCUCUCCUGGGCCCCUCAGCCAGCUAUUAAUUUUGCAGCCCUUCCUUGUCCCAUCUGGGUCUGACCGCACUGCAGUGAUUGAGCUGGGCAGGUCUACAGGCAAGGAGAGACCUGGAGAGGCAACUGCGGAGUGAGGGAAGGACAAGAGGGGAUGSUGGGGCUGGGAGAGGCAAUACUGUCUGACAGGGAAGAAACAACCAGAGAGACUGUGGCUUCCUACUAAAUGCUUUGGACUGACCUGCCUGCACAGCUUUCUGUGAAGAAGUUCAUACAGGCUGCCAGCAGCCACUGGUGCCUUUGCUCAGACCUGCUCUCUGGAGGUGCCCUACAUAUGGAUCAUGCACAUACACAUUAUGUGCACACACUGACCCAGACCCUGUGAGGAGAGACCACCCGAUACAUGCUUUGUGCUGCAGAAGGUCCCCACCUGAAUGAAGCCCAGCAGCUUGCAGACAGCARCAGCAAUGUAGAGAGCCUUCUCUGGCCCAGAGGUGGUCUCCAGUCGGUGCCCCCUCCCCAUUGCCCCAGCUCCCUUUGCAAGGAAGGCUUUAUACCCCCAGUGCUUAAAGACCCAUUAUGCUCUGCGCUGACCAGGCACUCUGCUUUUCUCUUCUCUGCAGACCUGGACACAGAGAAGCAGCCUGGGCUUGUGGGAUCCUGGACAAAGGAGCACUGUGACCASGUGUUGGACUCCAUUGAUGCCCAGCUCAGCCAGAACCGGAAGAACACCCUACGGCCAAGGCUGAAUACCUCCAGGGUGAAGCCAGUCAAAGCAGCUCCAGCUCUGUCUGCACGGAGGACUUUGCUGCCAGGUUUCAGGAGGGUAUGGUUGAGCCUCUGGUGUUCUCCGAGGAUGAGGAAGACGAGCCCUUCUCAGUGGGGAGCAGGCAUGCCAGGGAUGUCCCAGCAGAAGGCAAUGGCAUCUCUUGCCCUGCUGAGGAUCAUGAUGCUGGGCAGGAUGAGUCCUUGCUCUCUACAGGGAGAAGACAGGAUGUCCCAUGGCAGUCGGAGGUGGAGCUGGGCUGUCCAUUGCAGAGCACAUCUCCAUCUCUGACGAGAAGGCAAAGCCUGGAGUCUCUGGGAGGGAGGAUAUCCAGACUGAGCCAGAGCAAUGCUGUGACUGCAGGGAUGGAGCCAGACAGCUUCCCAGCGUGGUGGGCUCCCAUGCCAGCCCCCUCUGAGCAGGUGAGUGUGGGCCAGAAGGACUCUUCCCGCUGGGCUCCAU
This is a long non-coding RNA of Dromaius novaehollandiae (emu), 1570 nucleotides long. Ensembl lists it as uncharacterized. The record is from Ensembl. NCBI's taxonomy places the organism in Eukaryota, Metazoa, Chordata, Aves, Casuariiformes, Dromaiidae.